GCCCCCGUAGCUCAGUUGGAUAGAGCAGCGGUUUCCUAAACCGAAGGUCACCUGUUCAAUUCAGGUCGGGGGCACCA
This 77-nucleotide transfer RNA is filed under the name Nitrospira sp. RNAcentral describes it as "tRNA-Arg". It matches the Rfam family "tRNA". From Rfam's summary of the family: Transfer RNA (tRNA) molecules are approximately 80 nucleotides in length. The record is from RNAcentral. Lineage: Bacteria; Pseudomonadati; Nitrospirota; Nitrospiria; Nitrospirales; Nitrospiraceae.